AUCUCGAGCAGCUAUUGAAAAUCAAUUUGCAUUCCGCACCACAAAUAUUUAAAUGUUAAUUCGGCUCUCCAAAAAACUUAAGUCUCUCAAAUCCAAUGAAGCAAUCGGCAAAUGAAAAUCUUUUCGGGGAGGCGAAAGAAAAACAAGAACCGCACUUCAAAAGCAAUUUCACCUUGUUUUCCACACACACAAACAAAAAUAGUGGAUAAACAAUGGCGCGAGGCAAAUAUCUUUUUUGGCCAUAUAUAACUUUCGGGCUCACUAUGAAAACACCAAACAGUAAGCUUCCGAGAAGUUGAACACAAAGUUUUAACUUGAAUAUCAACUAACUAUUCAACUAUUUUGCAUACUUUGAAAUUACUUUAAUUCAAAAUCUAAAAACGUACUUCAAGAUAUCGCAAUAAAUUAAAAUAAUUUUAAUAAAAGUACGAAUUAAAUUGCU
This is a long non-coding RNA of Drosophila ficusphila, 442 nucleotides long. RefSeq lists it as uncharacterized. The record is from RefSeq and is a predicted model, not a curated record. The transcript has 2 exons. Lineage: Eukaryota; Metazoa; Arthropoda; Insecta; Diptera; Drosophilidae.